This 484-nucleotide ribosomal RNA is filed under the name uncultured bacterium. RNAcentral describes it as "partial 16S ribosomal RNA". It matches the Rfam family "Bacterial small subunit ribosomal RNA", at positions 30 to 507 of the family's 1533-position model. The record is from RNAcentral.
AUUGAACGCUGGCGGCAGGCCUAACACAUGCAAGUCGAGCGGAUGAAGGGAGCUUGCUCCUGGAUUCAGCGGCGGACGGGUGAGUAAUGCCUAGGAAUCUGCCUGGUAGUGGGGGAUAACGUCCGGAAACGGGCGCUAAUACCGCAUACGUCCUGAUGGAGAACGUGGGGGAUCUUCGGACCUCACGCUAUCAGAUGAGCCUAGGUCGGAUUAGCUAGUUGGUGGGGUAAAGGCCUACCAAGGCGACGAUCCGUAACUGGUCUGAGAGGAUGAUCAGUCACACUGGAACUGAGACACGGUCCAGACUCCUACGGGAGGCAGCAGUGGGGAAUAUUGGACAAUGGGCGAAAGCCUGAUCCAGCCAUGCCGCGUGUGUGAAGAAGGUCUUCGGAUUGUAAAGCACUUUAAGUUGGGAGGAAGGGCAGUAAGUUAAUACCUUGCUGUUUUGACGUUACCAACAGAAUAAGCACCGGCUAACUUCGUG